CCAGACUCCUACGGGAGGCAGCAGUGGGGAAUCUUCCGCAAUGGACGAAAGUCUGACGGAGCAACGCCGCGUGAGUGAUGACGGCCUUCGGGUUGUAAAGCUCUGUUAAUCGGGACGAAAGGCCUUCUUGCGAAUAGUGAGAAGGAUUGACGGUACCGGAAUAGAAAGCCACGGCUAACUACGUGCCAGCAGCCGCGGUAAUACGUAGGUGGCAAGCGUUGUCCGGAAUUAUUGGGCGUAUAGCGCGC
This 248-nucleotide ribosomal RNA is filed under the name uncultured bacterium. RNAcentral describes it as "partial 16S ribosomal RNA". It matches the Rfam family "Bacterial small subunit ribosomal RNA", at positions 331 to 570 of the family's 1533-position model. The record is from RNAcentral.